GGCUGAGCGGCUGGCUGUGACCAUGACCCCUGGUGUGAACAGCUGUGAUUGGGUGUAACUGAGUCCAACUGUGAGUCAGUGGCUGACUGCCUGACUAGCUGACUGGUGGAGGCCGGCCGGGCGACUGGCUGACCGCAGCUGCUGCGACUCGUGUCGCGAGUGGCCCUGCCUCACUGUGUGGCCCGGGCUGCGGGUCAGAGUCUGACUGUGAGACCGUGACAGGCUGACUGACCGGCUUUCCUGGCCGACGGCCUCUGGGUUGGCCUGUAAACACAGUCCCUACCUGUCCCAGAACCGUGAGAGGCCCUACAGGGAGUAAGCCCAGCCUGAGGGACAGAGCGGCUUCUGUGGAGCAGCUGGGGCAGGAAGACGGAGGCAGGAGCCGCCAGAGGGAGAACGGGAAUAGGCCCUGCCCAGGGCUGGGCCCAGAUGGAAAGUUCUCCACCUCACCCUUGCAGGGGCUGGGUCCCUGGCGCACAUUCGGAAGGUGUUGGACAGAGCUCAGAUGCCUCUACCACCUGCCGUAUGCAUGGUUUUGUCACCCACAAGUGCGAACUAUAUGAAUAAUGGCUCUUCCUCUAUAAACUCGAGAGAGGAGAAAACAGAAUCCAAAGACUUCACCUCAGUGCCUGGCACUUAGUAAACCACCAAGGAAUAUGAGCAUUCGUGAUUAUGGAUACUCAUCUCAUGGGCAUAUGCAAGGAUUCGUGAAGAUCCUCCCUGAGAAUGUACCUGGGAAGCCACGAAGCUCAGCCCCAAAGUGCUGGAAGGCAGCUGUGCAGCCUGGCAACCGCUCCUUCCUUCCCUGAGCCUGGCGAGGCUGUCCCCAGCUACCCUGAAAUGCCACCUGUCCCCCACCCCCCAAAGGACUCCACAGACUCUCUGGGGGCUUGGGCUGCUCCUGACACUACAGCUACUGGGGCCUGGUCCCCAGGGACGGGGAGGUAAAAACAGGAAGAAAUUCUCUGGGGUUCCCCUGGGAAGAGCCAAGGACCUACCUGUCAUAAGGAGGCCCUCGUGGGGCAUGGGGCCUCUUCCAGGAAGACCCAGGGUCUCGGGCCCUCCAGGGCCAGGAGGAAAACCCAGGCUCUCCUCUGAACCGGGGCAGGCUGAGAACCCAGGUAUGAGCCCAGAAAAAAAUCCCUCCCACACUAACACAGUCACCCUGUUCUCAAAGAGCUGCUGAGGAUGUGAGCUCAUUUGACCUUCACAGCUACGCAUAGCUGCAAAUUAAAACCAAGUAAUGAAGACUCCCCAACGGCACAGCCAAGGAACAGAAGGCUGCCCUCUAACUCAUUCAUUCCUUCGUGCGGCUUAAGAUUUCCUACAAGCCUACCUUUGAAUCCCAGCUCAGCCAGUUACUGGAUCGGUGACCUUAGGCCAGUGACUUCUUGGCUCAGAGCCUCAAUUUCCCCCUCGGUAAAACGGGGAUGACUCUAGCACCAGUCUCACAGUGUCAUGGUGAAGAUUUGACAAAAUGCUCAUUAAAUGCUUUAAAAAAUGUAAGACUCGAGGAGCUGAGAGUUUCUCUCUUCGGCCCCACAACUGCUUCAUCAUCGCAAAAUGGGACGUAAGCACCCAUAAGGUCACAGGGUUGUCGGGAAGAGUUAACAGGCACUUAGCAUAGUUGCAGCCACCUCUCAUCGAUCCUGCGGCCCCGACUCAUGUCCUAGGUGACCAGUCACGGCCUCCUCCACAGCUCUUCAUAGGGCCCCCGUCUGGCACACAAUAAAGGCUCAAUAAACAGGAA
Molecule: long non-coding RNA, 1750 nt
Organism: Canis lupus familiaris (dog)
Lineage: Eukaryota; Metazoa; Chordata; Mammalia; Carnivora; Canidae
Exons: 2
Source: RefSeq, a predicted model, not a curated record